Molecule: long non-coding RNA, 998 nt
Organism: Cygnus olor (mute swan)
Lineage: Eukaryota; Metazoa; Chordata; Aves; Anseriformes; Anatidae
Exons: 4
Source: RefSeq, a predicted model, not a curated record
AUUUCCAAAGUUUAGAAACAAUAUUCCUGAAAAAAAAAAUCCCAGUGUCAAUAUAAAUUAAUUAGGAUAAAGAAGAAAAUACCGAGAAUUUUCUUUGGCCAGCUGAGCACAUUGUGUGUCAUCUUCCCACUUAGCAGGUGCCACUCUGCAUAAAAUAAAGUGUAGAACUGGAGGCUCCAAGAAACAAAUAAGGCAGCACAUGGAUCAGGAACAGAAAUUUUGGAUGUUAGAAAGUUGGUGGAGCAGGAGAGCAGCUGGAGGGGCUUCCUCCACCUGUGAUACCAGCUGGGGCUGCAACCCAUGCCUUUGCUGGCACAAAGUAUUGUCCAGAAUGGUUUAAUGAGCAUCAGGUGAGGUGGGUGAGGAGGCAUGGUCUCACCCCAAGUGGCAAGCACUCACGUACCCUGGGUUAAGGGCAUGCCAGCUUCUUCAUUGCUGACUAUGGAUGUGCCUUUGCUACAGUUUUAAAGAAAUACAGGUGUAUAGAAGCAAGUUAAAAAUACAGGAUAUGUUAUACAAAUGAUGGGUUGAGAUGGUCUAAAUAUGAAAGUCUUGCAGCAAGGAAAACUGGACAGAGGUGGGUGUGAACCAGGUGUUACUGGAUGCUGAAUUAUGCGCACUGGAUCCUUUGUCCCAUUCCAGAUCGUGUCAAGAUAUAGCUUCUUUGCAUGUAAGAGGAUGUGGUAUGACAGAAGCCUGCCAUCUGAGCUUGGAAGGAGCUGGGAAGAAGCCGGAGAAUUAUGAUUUGUACCUGCAAUAUGAAGAAACCAUUUUUUUAGAGAUGCUGUUAAAGGAGAAUUUGAGAAACAUGUAAGUAGGCACUACCUAAAGCUUAGUGAACAGCAGGUAUCAAGCCAUUUCCCUGCACAAUAAUGGACCGUGAUCUUCUUUGACCAUCUCUCUUUCCCCCCUCUUCUGGUUCACUAGUAAGAUGUUCUUUGUUUUGCUCACACUGGAUGAAAUUUGGGAAAGUAAAAGUUUCUUCAAAGUGUCUUAGG